AAAUCAUAUUUUUGUUUUAUUGUUGGAAAACCAAAGCCCAGAGGUAAAGUUGUUUGCUCGAGAUAAUUUGCAUAGACUGAGAUUAAUGCCCCCAUCUCCUCAUUUCUCAGUUUCUUGCUUCAUUAGUUGGCCCUCAGGCUAGUGCUAGAAGCAAAGACAAAGAGUGGGUCACUGCUCAGCAAGUACCUGAGCAAAACAGAGUCACAGAGACACAUGCUUAAAAAUGGUGCUUGGGUAUAUAUAUCCUGAGGACUUGAAACCAGUAUGUCAAAGUGAUGUCUGUACUCCUGUGUUCACUGCAGCAUUAGUCACAGUAGCGAAGACACAGAAACAACCUAAGUGUUCACCAACAGAUGAGUGAGUAAAGCAAAUGUAGCAUAUAUACACAGUGGAAUACUAUUCAGCCUUAAAAAAGAAGGAAAUUUGGCUAUCUGCAACAACAUGGAUGAACCUGGAGGAUAUUAUAGAAGUGAAAUAAGCCAGGCACGGAAAGAGAUGGUGCCUUGCGUUGUUGCCGGGCUGGUCUUGAAUUCCUGGCUUCAAGUGAUCCUCCUGCCUUGGCCUCCCAACGUGCUGGAAUUACAGAUGUGAGCCACUGCAUCCUGUCCAUAGUGUUCUCUUCUAAUCCUUUUUAUUUCUAUGAGGUUUGCAACCUCAUUUUUGGAGCCUAAAACACUCAUUUGAUCACAUGGAUGCCUGGAAUGACUUUGUUUUACAAUGCAUUUCCUUGUCUUCAGAGUCAACUAAAGCACAACCAUUGAGGUCCAUCCCCAGUUAUGGAACAGAUUAUGGGAAGGAAAAUGAGUUUCAGAAAGUUGUUCAGGUCACACAUGUGAAUGGAUCUCAUGAGAUCUGAUGGUUUUAAAAACAGGAGUCUCCCUGCACAAGCUCCCUCUUUGCUUGCCGCCAUCCAUGUAAGAUGUGACUUGGUCCUCCUCAACUUCUGCCAUGAUUGUGAGGCCUCCCAAACCACAUGGAACUAUGAGAACAAUGAAGCACAGAGAGAUUAUGUUAACUUGUCCAGUGCCAAAGAGCUAUUAAGUGGCAGAGCUGGGAUUUAUUGCCACUGCACUGUUGCCUCUUCUGUUAGGAGCUCUUUGCUGUGCUGAGAUUGCAGUAUUUAAAGAUAGUCUCUCUGUCACCCAGGCUGGAGUGCAAUGGCGUGAUCUCGGCUCAUUGCAACCUCCGCCUCCCGGGUUCAAGUGAUUCUCCUGCCUCAGCCUCCCAAGUAGCUGGGAUUACAGGUCUGGAGGCUAGAAGGUUGAAAUCAAGGUAUUAGCAGAGCCAUGUUUCCUAUGAAGGCGAAGGUUAAUGUCUUUGUUUGGUAGAACAUAACCUUCAUCUUCUUUCUGAAUAAGAAUACAUGGCAUGAACACAAAGAAAAGAACAACAGACACUGGGUCUAUUUGAGAGUGGGGGGCACGAGGAGUGAGAGGAGCAGAAAAAAAUGACUAUUGGAUACUAGGCUUAAUACUUGGGUGAUGAAAUAAUCUGUACAACAAACUCUCAUGACGUGAUAUUAUGUAUAUAACAAACUUUCAC
Molecule: long non-coding RNA, 1542 nt
Filed under: Macaca mulatta (Rhesus monkey)
Lineage: Eukaryota; Metazoa; Chordata; Mammalia; Primates; Cercopithecidae
Description: lncRNA (ENSMMUG00000051608.1)
Source: RNAcentral